This 136-nucleotide ribosomal RNA is filed under the name Klebsiella aerogenes. Its description in RNAcentral is "partial 16S ribosomal RNA". It matches the Rfam family "Bacterial small subunit ribosomal RNA", at positions 1 to 127 of the family's 1533-position model. The record is from RNAcentral. Lineage: Bacteria; Pseudomonadati; Pseudomonadota; Gammaproteobacteria; Enterobacterales; Enterobacteriaceae.
ACUUAAAUUGAAGAGUUUGAUCAUGGCUCAGAUUGAACGCUGGCGGCAGGCCUAACACAUGCAAGUCGAGCGGUAACACAGAGAGCUUGCUCUCGGGUGACGAGCGGCGGACGGGUGAGUAAUGUCUGGGAAACUG